AUGAACGCUGGCGGCGUGCCUCAUCCAUGCCCGUCGAGCGAACGGACGAGAAGCUUGCUUUUCUGAUGUUAGCGGCGGACGGGUGAGUAACACGUGGAUAACCUACCUAUAAGACUGGGAUAACUUCGGGAAACCGGAGCUAAUACCGGAUAAUAUUUUGAACCGCAUGGUUCAAAAGUGAAAGACGGUCUUGCUGUCACUUAUAGAUGGAUCCGCGCUGCAUUAGCUAGUUGGUAAGGUAACGGCUUACCAAGGCAACGAUGCAUAGCCGACCUGAGAGGGUGAUCGGCCACACUGGAACUGAGACACGGUCCAGACUCCUACGGGAGGCAGCAGUAGGGAAUCUUCCGCAAUGGGCGAAAGCCUGACGGAGCAACGCCGCGUGAGUGAUGAAGGUCUUCGGAUCGUAAAACUCUGUUAUUAGGGAAGAACAUAUGUGUAAGUAACUGUGCACAUCUUGACGGUACCUAAUCAGAAAGCCACGGCUAACUACGUG
RNAcentral lists this ribosomal RNA (496 nucleotides) under uncultured bacterium. Its description in RNAcentral is "partial 16S ribosomal RNA". It matches the Rfam family "Bacterial small subunit ribosomal RNA", at positions 29 to 507 of the family's 1533-position model. The record is from RNAcentral.